RNAcentral lists this ribosomal RNA (459 nucleotides) under uncultured bacterium. RNAcentral's name for it is "partial 16S ribosomal RNA". It matches the Rfam family "Bacterial small subunit ribosomal RNA", at positions 338 to 795 of the family's 1533-position model. The record is from RNAcentral.
CCUACGGGUGGCAGCAGUGAGGAAUAUUGGUCAAUGGGCGGGAGCCUGAACCAGCCAAGCCGCGUGAAGGAAGAAGGCGCCAAGCGUCGUAAACUUCUUUUGUCGGGGAACAAAGGGCGCCACGUGUGGCGUUGUGAGUGUACCCGAAGAAAAAGCAUCGGCUAACUCCGUGCCAGCAGCCGCGGUAAUACGGAGGAUGCGAGCGUUAUCCGGAUUUAUUGGGUUUAAAGGGUGCGUAGGCGGACUGGAAAGUCAGCGGUAAAAUCGAGAGGCUCAACCUCUUUCCGCCGUUGAAACUGGUUUUCUUGAGUGAGCGAGAAGUAUGCGGAAUGCGUGGUGUAGCGGUGAAAUGCAUAGAUAUCACGCAGAACUCCGAUUGCGAAGGCAGCAUACCGGCGCUCAACUGACGCUCAUGCACGAAAGUGUGGGUAUCGAACAGGAUUAGAUACCCUUGUAGUC